UACGGAGGGUGCAAGCGUUGUCCGGAAUCAUUGGGCGUAAAGAGUUCGUAGGUGGUUUGUUAAGUUUGGUGUUAAAUGCAGAGGCUCAACUUCUGUUCGGCAUCGGAUACUGGCAAACUUGAAUGCGGUAGAGGUGAAGGGAAUUCCUGGUGUAGCGGUGAAAUGCGUAGAUAUCAGGAGGAACAUCGGUGGCGUAAGCGCUUUACUGGGCCGUAAUUGACACUGAGGAACGAAAGCCGGGGUAGCAAAU
Molecule: ribosomal RNA, 250 nt
Filed under: uncultured prokaryote
Description: partial 16S ribosomal RNA
Rfam family: Bacterial small subunit ribosomal RNA
Source: RNAcentral